Molecule: transfer RNA, 88 nt
Filed under: Gnomoniopsis sp. IMI 355080
Lineage: Eukaryota; Fungi; Ascomycota; Sordariomycetes; Diaporthales; Gnomoniaceae
Description: tRNA-Phe
Rfam family: tRNA
About the family: Transfer RNA (tRNA) molecules are approximately 80 nucleotides in length. Their secondary structure includes four short double-helical elements and three loops (D, anti-codon, and T loops). Further hydrogen bonds mediate the characteristic L-shaped molecular structure. tRNAs have two regions of fundamental functional importance: the anti-codon, which is responsible for specific mRNA codon recognition, and the 3' end, to which the tRNAs corresponding amino acid is attached (by aminoacyl-tRNA synthetases). tRNAs cope with the degeneracy of the genetic code in two manners: having more than one tRNA (with a specific anti-codon) for a particular amino acid; and 'wobble' base-pairing, i.e. permitting non-standard base-pairing at the 3rd anti-codon position.
Source: RNAcentral
GCGGGGAUAGCUCAGUUGGGAGAGCGUCAGACUGAAGUAAACUCAGUUGUAAAUCUGAAGGUCGUGUGUUCAAUCCACACUCACCGCA